UACGUAGGUGGCAAGCGUUGUCCGGAAUUAUUGGGCGUAAAGCGCGCGCAGGCGGUCCCUUAAGUCUGAUGUGAAAGCCCACGGCUCAACCGUGGAGGGUCAUUGGAAACUGGGGGACUUGAGUGCAGAAGAGGAAAGUGGAAUUCCAUGUGUAGCGGUGAAAUGCGUAGAGAUGUGGAGGAACACCAGUGGUGAAGGCGACUUUCUGGUCUGUAACUGACGCUGAGGCGCGAAAGCGUGGGGAGCAAACAGG
This 253-nucleotide ribosomal RNA is filed under the name uncultured bacterium. RNAcentral's name for it is "partial 16S ribosomal RNA". It matches the Rfam family "Bacterial small subunit ribosomal RNA", at positions 524 to 776 of the family's 1533-position model. The record is from RNAcentral.